UCUCUGCGGAUGGAUGGAGCACUUGUGGAUGCCUGGCUGUAUUUCCCAGGCUUAAAGAGAAACAUCAUCUUCUGGCUGAUUGGAGAAUCCCCCGGAUGUUCGGCCGAGUUACGUGUCUCUUCUUCCCUUUUUUUAAAAAAUCUCCUCUGUCCUCGUGUACGCCCAUGUGUGUGUGUAUUCACGAGGACAUACCGCAUAACUAUGCCGCCUGGUGGAUUCAGCUUUUCUGCGGAUGGAGCACUUGUGGAUGCCUGGCCGUAUUUCCCAGGCUUAAAGGGCGCUUAUCAUCAUCUUUUUUUCCGCCUCUUUUCUUCUUCCGCACUGCUCCGAAGAUGAUGAGAAAUUGGAGAGAAAUGGAAAAUGAUUUUCCGGGGUCAUUAACUUUCUAAUCGUGCAGCCCGCACCUGUCUCGAUUUUUAUCCCGUCUUAUACAUCUUAUCAUAUUUAUCCUUUUUUUUUGUUGUGUGCUGUGUGCUUUCGUUUUUGAUUCGAUUUGGAUUUUGUGAUGAUGGAUUCUGGUUUCUUUUCUUCUCUUUCUCUCCUCGUCGGAGAACGAAAUGCUCUUCUGGGAUCUUGUUCUGAUUCUCAUCCAUCACACAAGGGUAACACAGAGCAUCCCCCCUCUGGAGAGGUAAUAAUAUCAGGAAAGCUUUUGAAACAAAGGUAUUAUAAAUCAACCGUAAUUUUUGUUUUCGGUUUUGCGCUAUAGGUAGGUGAGAAGAAACAUGAAGCUUGCGACAGUUUAUCAAUCAAUGAUGAUGUACUUCAAACCGAGAGAGAUAGAGCCUAUAGCUACCGGGGAUGGAGAUAAUUAAAAGCAGCAAAAAAAAAAAGGUGAAACAAAAAACACAAAGCUACAGGCGAAGUUCUUUCUCGGGUGGUGUUUGUGAAAGGGAAAAAACAAAAAACAAAUUUCCCUACAGCCGCAAAAGUCCGGUUCUCGUCUUCCGACAAAUUUAUUUUAUUUUUUUGUUUUUCUCUCUCAUCUUAUAACUCGGGUUCUGAUGCAUCAAGAGUUUUGAAAGGCCCAGUCUUCUCUGCGUAAACUACGUCCAAACUCGCCCUUGUUGAUUGUAACUGGCUGCCCGGGUGACGUUUAGUGCCAGCUGAACGCUGCUGCUGCUGCCAUUUGGAUUCUUACGCUCUUAAACGCGCUGCUGCCCAGAUGGCCAACGAAACAAUUUCGGUUUUUGGCGAGCUGAGAAAAGGCGGAGACCGAGAAACGGUGAUUUUCUCCUGACGUCACUCUCCCCGCAGUCAUCGGACUAUAAAAAUAUUUCACAACCCGCCAGCGGGUUCGGUCAUCAGGUAUGUUAUAUUGAGAGCUAUAGGCAAGGUUGUUGGAGGGGGCUCACUCCAUAUGUGGCGGGCUCUGUCGCAGCUUUCUCCGCUUUCAUAGUCCACAUAUACACAACCGAAAUCAGAGACUCACUGAUAAUGGCGAUAUCCGCGUUCAUUUCGACGUGCGUUUUUUGUUGUUGUUGUUGUUUUGUUGUUGUGUGUGCUACCUAACUCAACCACGCACCAGCAGCAUCGCUCGAGCAAACACCCAAGAUGGUUGUUAUUACAUCUACACACACAGAGAUUUGUAUGUAUGCGCAUGCAGAUGUGUCUGUGCACUUUUCUUGUCGCACUUCAUCAUUCACUCGCGUCUCUGCACCUCCUAUAGAAGAACCAAAUGAUCAUUUGUUUUUAUCUUUGGCGUGUAUGUGUGUCUAUAAGUACAUAUUUGCUUAGUCGCAGUAUUAUGUAUUGUGUAGGGCUGUACAUACAUGCAUAAUCACGAGUCGUGGGUGACCUACUGCGCAACCGAGAAGAUAUAGAAUUCACGGUAUAAUCUGGCUGGGUACACAGGCUGGCUGGCUGCUGCCGUACCGUGGAAAUGGUUUCACGUGCUCAUUGAUUUUCCUGCUCGACAGACCAUAUAGUCACGUUGCAUGAUGAUGAUGCGCGCGGUUCGGGGCUGGCUCAGCAACGGUUUAUUAUCCAUCUUUUGACUGCUGCUGCUGGAAAGUUGCUAUUUGCGCUCAUGUAUAAAUAGUUCUUGUUCUUUUUUUCUCACAUCACUUGGAUCAUGUCCAUAUAUCCCGCCUACUUUUGCUGCAUAUUCCGUGGGGCGGAAAAAGAGAGAGAGAGGAAAAAAAAAAGAUUUGAACCGUUUCUUAGUAGAUAUUAUAUACUUUCGUGCUGCUGCUGGAAUGUCGAAGUGCUGGGAAAGCUCACGUCCUGGUGCGGUUGCCGUUCUACAAAUCGUCAUCAUGCUUGCAAUCCUCCUCCUUUCCUCCUUAUUCCCCUCUUUCUCCACUUUACAUGUCCACUUUCAUCUUCUCGUUUUCAGCUGAGAAAUCAGAAGAAGAAAAAAAACUAAAUCUCUUGCCGAAUAACCGCGCCGUUUCGUUUCGGAACUAUUAUAAUCGAGUUCGUGCGCUCACGAAGCCGCAAAACGUUUCAUUUCGUAGGCGUUUAAAAUAACGGAAGAGAAAUAUUUCGUGUAUAUCAACUGUUGGGACCCGCUCAGCCAGCUGACACCUUUUAAGGGCUGAGAUGAAUAGCUCAAUCACUUUCCAAAAUUGGAUAGACGAAUUAAAGAUUCGUGAGUUGCAGGUCUUGGUGGAUUUCUUUCUGGCGGGUCCGCAGUAUGGCUGACUGAAGGGGAAAUCGCCCAAGCCGAAUGACACUGGUAUACGUCGCCGCGUGCUUAUAAGUCUCCGACAAUGUUGUUCAACCGGAAUGGAGUUAAGAAAAAUAAAAGGGAAAAAAACAAAACAAAAAACAGAUAUAGUCUCAACAUGCAAUGAAGAGAUUGAGGACUCAUCUCUACAGCUCCCAUCUUCACCAAUGACAUGGAAACUAAAAACCGAAACCAAAAACGGUGGUCUAGCCUACUUGCAGCACACAAAAAUCCUUAUCGGAUUUAAUACAUCAAGGGACGACCGCAGAACUCUUUUUCCUACUUGAAUUGAUGCCAGAAUUAAAAAUGAAAACAAGGAAAAUGAUUGUCAAUGGGCAAUUUUAAACCAUGAAAAAAUGAAACAGUUUUAGCGAAACGUCUUACUAAAGACUGGAUCCAUGAACGGAAUAUUAUUUUAACCGAUUUUAACCAUUUAUUCCUAUCCGCAAUGUUGCAGCGUCUCAGCAGUAGACGAGAGUAUGCACACAUACGUGCGUGGCAUUUUAGUAUCGAGUAAAGAGCCCAGGAGGUCCGCAAUCCGCAUCGAUUGUCUACUGACGACUUGAAAUAACGGCCACAUAGUUUCAAAAACCAUUGAGCAUCGGCCAUUCGAACUCGACGAAAGAUUUUAAAGAAAAAGCUAUAUACACAUAAAUCAUUCAAUGUGUUUUUUUUUUAUUUUGUUAUGUUCCAAUAUGGAAAUAACCAAUCGUUUCUUUUGUAUACAUAGCACGCCGCCAGCAGCAGCAACAUUAGAAUUAGCAAGUUAUUUCAUGUAAUUUAGUGUUGGUUUACUAAAAUGAUACCGUUAAUAUCUUUAUAUCUUUUGCAUCAGAGUUGCGUCGUCAUUAUUUUCAUCUUCGGAUUAUUCAAUUUUUCUGAUUGCUUUGGCGCCUACUGUUAUUUUCAUCAAUUAUAAACUUGUUUCUAAGGAUCGUACAAAACAUCGCAAAACAUUUGAUUACCGUAUAGAGUGGACGUAUUAUAUCAUAUUUUCAUUAUUUAAAGUUUUAUAGCUCUCCUUAUAAUUUAAAAUACUGUUAACCACCCAGCGCAUUUAAGCCAUUUAGAACAUAAAUCCUGAGCACUGUGACUGUUUCAACAAGAGUAGGUGGUAUACUACAUAUAAAGGUGAUAGAUUAUAGGGGAGAAAGGAACAAGAGCCUUGUUAAUACAGUACUGUAUAUACGUAUAUAUCUUAGAUAAAUGUGUUUGAAAUGAGCCAGUCCUUAUUCAUGUUGGGAUGAAGAUGAGAUGGCAACACAUUCAUUCCUUAGAUGAAGAACUGGUUCUCACUACUGGCAAGAUUAAAAAAUUACAUCAUGAUUUAUUAUCCAUUUUUAUUUUUAUGAUUUUACCUGAAAAUAAUUGGAGAGAGGCUUCAGACGAAGAGGGCGAAAGGCCCUACGUAUAUACAGGUCUUCAGUGUACGUUACAAGAUGCAAGGAUAAAUUUUUGAAAAAGCCGCAAUCAGGCACCUAGUAGAGGAAUUUCGUACUGCUUUAUCGAAUCAUGCUUGAUAGCCUUGUCGUCUGCGUCAUUCCCGCGUGCUGGGUGGUGUUUGUUUUUGUCAGGCUCAGGCUUCGGGUUAUGACCGAAGAAUAGAAACUUGAAAAUUUGCUUUCGUGUUCCUACCACUGUUUUAUGGAAUAAUUUGUCAUUUAGAGAAAUCUGGGAAGUAAAGAAGACACAGACAAAAAAAUUAUUUUAUUUAAAUUAUUUUAUGUUUAGGAUAAAAUGUUUGUUGAUUUUGGGCUCAAAGUGCAUACAAACUUUUGAGACAGCAAGCUUUUAUUUAGGAUACAAUCUGUUUAUUGAGAAAAGUGAUGGCUCUAUUGGCUCAUAACUCAUAACUGUGCACAACCAUUUACCUCGAGUCUACAAUAACUAUAACUGUGACAUGAUCAGUUUAUUCUAUGUCCUUCCACUGCUUCAUGAAAAUGUGUUUAUUAUAAACAAGGGCCUAUAAAUAUAGAAUGCAUCACAUCACCAUGCAUGCAAAUAUUUUAAAACAACAUUGAACCUGGCCAAUUCAAGGAAUGCUGCAUACUUCAGGUUUGUGGACCUUCAGUCGUGGCCAUUUUAAAAUCCUUGAAAAUGCUGGUAGAUCUCAGAAGAGUAGCACUGUAGCAGCUACCAUCACAGACAUAGAAUGUCAUCGGUGGUAAUGGAUACAGGAAUGAGUGUUGAGAUCCAAGAAAAUAGUGAAAUUCUCGUACUACGUGCUACCACUCGACUCGAAAAUUUUCCUAUUUUUCCAUGAAAAUUAACGAUGAAUCCAAAGAAGGAACGCCCAAAGGCAACUAGCCUAGAUAAGUAGCCUACCAUCAAUUUUUUUCAUAAAAUUGUCGUUCGCUGAAUGCUUCAUGCUGUUAAAACAGGUUAAUAUUCAUCGUAAUUAUCUGGAGUUUCUGUUGAUAUUGGUAGGUCAGUCACUACCCCAGUGUGGACACUUUUUUUUUUUAAAACAUGUUUUCUCCAAAUAAUGCAUUGACAAACAAUCAUAGAGAAAGCUAUGGAAACAUAAUCAAGGCCAUGGGUAUCUUCAGGUUUAUUGCAGAAACUUUGGGGAAGUCACAUGAAAAGAUGCAGGUCACAUACCAACAUGUGUUGUAUUUAUCUGAAUUUUUUACUCAAGCAGUAGAUUCAACAUGACUGUUUGAUGCCAAAGUAAGUUAGUUCUGGAACUCUAACUCAAACACAGAUAACCGUUGCUGCUGCUGCCUUAUUACAGUCACAGCCAGGAAAAUUAUUCUUUUCUUCAGAAAAUUACGAAUUUCGAUGCUGAAAGACUUGGAAACCAUGCUGUCCACCACGUCGAGAAGCUGAGUAACAUUCUGUGUGUUCAAUGGCUCCUCUUAAUAAAAGGAACUGAAGCCAUCCAUCUAGGGCUUCCAUCCAAUCAUGCGGGCUGCAUGGAAGUCACAUUUACCUUUUGUGUGAACAUCAUGAACACAUACACCAUUUGAAGGUUCAUGUUUACAUAGCAGUGGUGUUGCUGUCCAAUGUGGCGUGUUGUUGCAGCCUAUGGUGGUGAAAGAUACCUUCAUCAAGUUGCUGUUCAUUGUGCAUCCAAGGUGAUGGUUUUGUGCUACGGAAGUUACAUCCAGUAUUGUGUUAAAUUGCCAUUCAUGCCUAAAUUGCCUAUGCAGUUUACCUUUUAUAUAUUGAGAAGGAACAAAAAAAGUAAUAUGGGGAAGUUUAUGUCAAACAAAUAAUAAACAUGUCCGCGAUUGGGGAAUGAGGAAGAAGUUGGGGUGGGAUACUUGAUUAUGAUUUACUUAAAGAAGUGAGGUAUAUUUUUAAUGUGCAGUACUUGGUGAUAAAAUCUGUUCACCUAUAUAACCUUCCCCACAUCCACUCCUCAAACCCCUUAAGUACCAACAUCAAAUCCCACAUCUACUUACAUCCAUUCCUCAAACCCCACAUUGCCCAAUCAAACUCACACAAUUGUUGUAUAUCUAUAACCAUCUCUAUAUAUAUAAAUAAAAUGUCAUUGUAUAUAAAUUGUGUAAACUAUAUUUACUCUGGAACACUCACAAAAUAAAAAAUUCAUUAAACA
This is a long non-coding RNA of Daphnia pulex (common water flea), 6233 nucleotides long. RefSeq lists it as uncharacterized. The transcript has 12 exons. The record is from RefSeq and is a predicted model, not a curated record. NCBI's taxonomy places the organism in Eukaryota, Metazoa, Arthropoda, Branchiopoda, Diplostraca, Daphniidae.